AGAGGAAGUAAAAGUCGUAACAAGGUUUCCGUAGGUGAACCUGCGGAAGGAUCAUUAUCAGAAAAUUUCAUUAUUUUUUGAAAUAUUUUUCCAAUUUCCCCUGUGUAUUGUACUCCAUGUUGCUUCCACUAGACUGGUAUUUAGAUAUACCCUUCAACCCACUAAUUCUUAGAGGAUUGAAGAAAUGCCAGUGGAUAGCCUUAAACCAAAAGAACUUUUUUGUUUUAAAUAAUAGUCUGAUAAAAAGGAAAAAAAAUAAUAAUAAAAACUUUCAACAACGGAUCUCUAGGCUCUUGCAUCGAUGAAGAACGCAGUGAAAUGUGAUAAGUAAUGUGAAUUGCAGAAUCUCGUGAAUCAUCGAAUCUUUGAACGCACAUUGCGCCCAAUGGUAUUCCACUGGGCAUACCUGUUUGAGUGUCAGAAUCCUUCUAAUAAUCAAACUUUUAUAUAUCCGUAUAAAGAUGUUUGGAUGUUAAUUGAGAAGAGUAGUAUUGUUAUAAUAUUACUUUCUUAAAAACUAGAAAUAUUUUGUUUUGGUUUUCUUCCCAACUCAUUUUAUAUUAAAUAUAACAAAUGAGUGUGAAUUUAAACAAGGGACAAUAAUACUUUUGGAUGACCUCAAAUCAGGUAGGGAUACCCGCUGAACUUAAGCAUAUCAAU
This 660-nucleotide ribosomal RNA is filed under the name Pachyphloeus sp. 2 RGO-2014. RNAcentral's name for it is "eukaryotic LSU rRNA". The stretch from base 267 to 420 matches the Rfam family "5.8S ribosomal RNA". Lineage: Eukaryota; Fungi; Ascomycota; Pezizomycetes; Pezizales; Pezizaceae. The record is from RNAcentral.